AAAUUGAAGAGUUUGAUCAUGGCUCAGAUUGAACGCUGGCGGCAGGCCUAACACAUGCAAGUCGAACGGUAACAGAAAGCAGCUUUCUGCUUUGCUGACGAGUGGCGGACGGGUGAGUAAUGUCUGGGAAACUGCCUGAUGGAGGGGGAUAACUACUGGAAACGGUAGCUAAUACCGCAUAACGUCGCAAGACCAAAGAGGGGGACCUUCGGGCCUCUUGCCAUCGGAUGUGCCCAGAUGGGAUUAGCUUGUUGGUGGGGUAACGGCUCACCAAGGCGACGAUC
This 284-nucleotide ribosomal RNA is filed under the name Escherichia coli. RNAcentral's name for it is "partial 16S ribosomal RNA". It matches the Rfam family "Bacterial small subunit ribosomal RNA", at positions 1 to 281 of the family's 1533-position model. The record is from RNAcentral. Lineage: Bacteria; Pseudomonadati; Pseudomonadota; Gammaproteobacteria; Enterobacterales; Enterobacteriaceae.